UCUAUCCACUUAUUUUUCCUUUGACAACUCUUGUAGCACCGACCACUACGAUCAUGUGUCUCUUCCGUCCAUUGCUCUUCCUUCAAUUAUCGGCCAACAACUUAGGAGAACAUGUGGUCCAAUCAAUCCACGGCCCGACCGAGUCACUCUCCGAUUCGAUCGAGUCGCCGUCUAGUCGCUCGGCUCUUUAUGAGGGUAAAUUGACACCAUCAGCCGACAACCCCACUCAUAAUUUUGGAACAGCCGACAACUGAGGGCUUUCGUUGGCCCGAUAUGUUCUUCGGCAUAGGGCUACACCGCACUGCACGGCCCAAGACAGACGGAGGGAACUGAAACAGAGACAGUGCAGAAAAAGAAGACGAGAAUUCAGAUGCCGCUCGUAUCUAAUGGCGCUGAAGGUAUCGGUCAUCUUCCUCGACGAGUGUCCCGUUUCAGAUGCUUUAUUAAUGCGCGUGCGGCCAUCAUCGGGUAUGCUCGUUGUCCAACUUGGUGAACUUUUCAUGUUUCUGCUACACUUGAUCAGAAUUUGCCACAGCUUAGUUAGAGUGUGCAAUUAGCCAUAUUACAGAUCACAUUCUUUAUUUACAAUUUGGCUUGAGAACCUGCUGAUCAGUAUCACCGAUUCCUAUUUUGGUUAUAGAAUCGGAGAACUAAGGCAUAAUGAACAGUGAAGGAUGGUUCCUCCUUCAGAAACCUCUUUCGAGGUCUGCCCGUAAGACCAUACUGGCCCAACCCAAAGCGUACAAUUCCUCAUGGCUUAGAGAGUUCGCACCAGUGUGGAUCUUGUUCCUAUGUCAAGUUUAGCUUCUUUCAGAGUUCGCACCAGACUUGCUUCUUGCAUGAAAGAAUUGUGUAGCUUCUUUCAGAGCUUGAGCCCUCAACCGACCAAUCAUUUCCCAAAUGCAAGUUGCCAAUGAGUAACAUGUCAAAAUCUUAUACUUUCCAUGACCAAAUCCAAAAAGUCAGUUACUAUUGACAUACCUUGCCAUCUUUGGCUAUUAUUGAAUUUUGGAAAAUUAUAAGACUCAUCCGCACCAGAUUAUCGAGCAUCUUCCGAGUGCACGGGACACCUGUUCUUGAUUGAGGCCCUCCCUGGAUUUUCUUUUAAACUACUAUUGCUUGGAAGAGAGGGAUUCUAUGCAAACACAGGAAAUUUAUUCUGUGAGAGAAUUUAUAAUUAAACAAAAGAAACAGUAAAUUACUUUUUUACUUGCAAUGUGUAUGCGCAAUAUACUAAGUUUCAAGUGUGAUUCACUCGUCAGAAUGGUAUGCUGUACUGGUGCCAUCCAGUAUGGAAUAAAACUGAAAUUGACAUCUUCAAGUGCCGUAGAUAGACUUGAUACAACUCUUUUGCCCCUUGUAUUUGACCUUUUUUUCUUGUAUUGUCCAUUUGACAAGUUCCUUUUGAUAGUUAUGAUUGUUAUAUCUUUAUGAAACCUCAUCUUUUGGUC
Molecule: non-coding RNA, 1451 nt
Organism: Musa acuminata subsp. malaccensis (wild Malaysian banana)
Lineage: Eukaryota; Viridiplantae; Streptophyta; Magnoliopsida; Zingiberales; Musaceae
Source: RefSeq, a predicted model, not a curated record